GUGGCGUUAGUUCAAAGGAAGAACACUGACCUCAUAAGUCAGUAGUUGGGAUGUCAGGAUUCCCACGCCGCA
Molecule: transfer RNA, 72 nt
Filed under: Bacteriophage sp.
Description: tRNA-Met
Rfam family: tRNA
About the family: Transfer RNA (tRNA) molecules are approximately 80 nucleotides in length. Their secondary structure includes four short double-helical elements and three loops (D, anti-codon, and T loops). Further hydrogen bonds mediate the characteristic L-shaped molecular structure. tRNAs have two regions of fundamental functional importance: the anti-codon, which is responsible for specific mRNA codon recognition, and the 3' end, to which the tRNAs corresponding amino acid is attached (by aminoacyl-tRNA synthetases). tRNAs cope with the degeneracy of the genetic code in two manners: having more than one tRNA (with a specific anti-codon) for a particular amino acid; and 'wobble' base-pairing, i.e. permitting non-standard base-pairing at the 3rd anti-codon position.
Source: RNAcentral